AAACAGGAGGAGAAAUGUGAAAUGCGGGAUGGAGAGUUGCUAGAGAGGUCACAGGAUGUGUUCUGAAGGAUUUCAGACGACGCACACAGAAUAAUAACAGAAAUAAAGCCGAAGUAAAGAACAAGUAUAUAAUUGCUUAAUAUUUCAUCAGAAUCGUAUGUGUGAAGUCGGAAGAAAAUACUGCUGAAAGAUCUUUCCUGCUUCCUUAUCAUAAAACCAUGACUAUUAAAAUGAUUUGAAACUG
Molecule: long non-coding RNA, 244 nt
Organism: Octopus sinensis (East Asian common octopus)
Lineage: Eukaryota; Metazoa; Mollusca; Cephalopoda; Octopoda; Octopodidae
Exons: 2
Source: RefSeq, a predicted model, not a curated record